This 301-nucleotide ribosomal RNA is filed under the name Isometra sp. Iso174. RNAcentral's name for it is "partial 16S ribosomal RNA". It matches the Rfam family "Bacterial large subunit ribosomal RNA", at positions 2257 to 2643 of the family's 2925-position model. The record is from RNAcentral. Lineage: Eukaryota; Metazoa; Echinodermata; Crinoidea; Comatulida; Antedonidae.
AAUAAAAAUAUCUUUGGUUGGGGCAACCGCGAAGAAAAAAAAACCUUUGCACUAAUAAAAAAUUUACAAAUUUAAAAUUUAUAAAAAAAUAGACCCAGAAUACUGAGCAAGGGAAAAAGUUACCGCAGGGAUAACAGCGUAAUUCUCUUUAAGAGUUCAUAUUGACAAGAGAGUUUGCGACCUCGAUGUUGGACCGGGGCACCCCAGGGGUGCAACAGCCCCUAAAGGCGGGUCUGUUCGACCCUUAAAGCCCUACGUGAUCUGAGUUCAGACCGACGCAAGUCAGGUCAGUUUCUAUCUA